This 248-nucleotide ribosomal RNA is filed under the name uncultured bacterium. RNAcentral describes it as "partial 16S ribosomal RNA". It matches the Rfam family "Bacterial small subunit ribosomal RNA", at positions 57 to 305 of the family's 1533-position model. The record is from RNAcentral.
GCAAGUCGAGCGCGAAAGCCUUCGGGUGAGUAGAGCGGCGGACGGGUGAGUAACGCGUAGGAAUCUACCUGGUAGUGGGGGACAACAGUUGGAAACGACUGCUAAUACCGAAUAUGUACUACUACCGCAUGGUAGUUUUAUAAAAGGAGCGUUUGCUUCGCUAGAGGAUGAGAGUGCGUCGCAUUAGUUAGUUGGUAGGGUAAAGGCCUACCAAGACGAUGAUGCGUAGCGGGGUCGAGAGGCUGAAC